RNAcentral lists this transfer RNA (73 nucleotides) under Colletotrichum lupini. Its description in RNAcentral is "tRNA-Lys". It matches the Rfam family "tRNA". Rfam says of the family: Transfer RNA (tRNA) molecules are approximately 80 nucleotides in length. Their secondary structure includes four short double-helical elements and three loops (D, anti-codon, and T loops). Further hydrogen bonds mediate the characteristic L-shaped molecular structure. tRNAs have two regions of fundamental functional importance: the anti-codon, which is responsible for specific mRNA codon recognition, and the 3' end, to which the tRNAs corresponding amino acid is attached (by aminoacyl-tRNA synthetases). tRNAs cope with the degeneracy of the genetic code in two manners: having more than one tRNA (with a specific anti-codon) for a particular amino acid; and 'wobble' base-pairing, i.e. permitting non-standard base-pairing at the 3rd anti-codon position. The record is from RNAcentral. Lineage: Eukaryota; Fungi; Ascomycota; Sordariomycetes; Glomerellales; Glomerellaceae.
GCCUUGCUAGUUCAAUCGGUAGAGCGUGAGACUCUUAAUCUCAAGGUUGCGGGUUCGACCCCCGCGUGAGGCU